Molecule: ribosomal RNA, 253 nt
Filed under: uncultured bacterium
Lineage: Bacteria
Description: partial 16S ribosomal RNA
Rfam family: Bacterial small subunit ribosomal RNA
Source: RNAcentral
UACGAAGGGGCUAGCGUUGCUCGGAAUCACUGGGCGUAAAGGGUGCGUAGGCGGGUCUUUAAGUCAGGGGUGAAAUCCUGGAGCUCAACGUCCAGAACUGCCUUUGAUACUGAAGAUCUUGAGUUCGGGAGAGGUGAGUGGAACUGCGAGUGUAGAGGUGAAAUUCGUAGAUAUUCGCAAGAACACCAGUGGCGAAGGCGGCUCACUGGCCCGGUACUGACGCUGAGGUGCGAAAGCGUGGGGAGCAAACAGG